Molecule: ribosomal RNA, 305 nt
Filed under: uncultured bacterium
Lineage: Bacteria
Description: bacterial SSU rRNA
Rfam family: Bacterial small subunit ribosomal RNA
Source: RNAcentral
UUAAUCCUACGGGGGGCAGCAGUGGGGAAUAUUGCACAAUGGGGGGAACCCUGAUGCAGCAAUGCCGCGUGAAGGAUGAAGGUUUUCGGAUUGUAAACUUCUUUUGUACGGGACGAAGAAAGUGACGGUACCGUAAGAAUAAGCCACGGCUAACUACGUGCCAGCAGCCGCGGUAAUACGUAGGGGGCAAGCGUUAUCCGGAUUUACUGGGUGUAAAGGGAGCGUAGACGGUGCGCCAAGUCUGGAGUGAAAUGCCGCAGCUUAACUGCGGAACUGCUUUGGAAACUGGCGAACUAGAGUGCGGG